CAGCUCGUUGUAGCCUCUUAUCUUUUAUUCACUGCAGAAAUUCAGAGCGUAAUAAUGAUUGCUGAUAACGGCCGAUACACACACCAACAUGUGAAUAAGGGGCACUUAUUUUUUU
Sebastes umbrosus (honeycomb rockfish) is the source of this 115-nucleotide long non-coding RNA. RefSeq lists it as uncharacterized. The transcript is spliced from 3 exons. Lineage: Eukaryota; Metazoa; Chordata; Actinopteri; Perciformes; Sebastidae. The record is from RefSeq and is a predicted model, not a curated record.